CACGCCCUAAACGAUGUCAACUAGUUGUUGGUGGAGUAAAAUCCAUUAGUAACGCAGCUAACGCGUGAAGUUGACCGCCUGGGGAGUACGGUCGCAAGAUUAAAACUCAAAGGAAUUGACGGGGGCCCGCACAAGCGGUGGAUUAUGUGGAUUAAUUCGAUGCAACGCGAAAAACCUUACCUGGCCUUGACAUGUACGGAACUUUCCAGAGAUGGAUUGGUGCCCGAAAGGGAGCCGUAACACAGGUGC
Molecule: ribosomal RNA, 249 nt
Filed under: uncultured Methylophilaceae bacterium
Lineage: Bacteria; Pseudomonadati; Pseudomonadota; Betaproteobacteria; Nitrosomonadales; Methylophilaceae
Description: partial 16S ribosomal RNA
Rfam family: Bacterial small subunit ribosomal RNA
Source: RNAcentral